UACGAAGGGUGCAAGCGUUACUCGGAAUUACUGGGCGUAAAGCGUGCGUAGGUGGUUUGUUAAGUCUGAUGUGAAAGCCCUGGGCUCAACCUGGGAAUUGCAUUGGAUACUGGCAGGCUAGAGUGCGGUAGAGGGUAGUGGAAUUCCCGGUGUAGCAGUGAAAUGCGUAGAGAUCGGGAGGAACGAUCUGUGGCGAAGGC
RNAcentral lists this ribosomal RNA (200 nucleotides) under uncultured bacterium. Its description in RNAcentral is "partial 16S ribosomal RNA". It matches the Rfam family "Bacterial small subunit ribosomal RNA", at positions 524 to 722 of the family's 1533-position model. The record is from RNAcentral.